This 64-nucleotide transfer RNA is filed under the name Cavia porcellus (domestic guinea pig). It matches the Rfam family "tRNA", at positions 1 to 62 of the family's 71-position model. Rfam says of the family: Transfer RNA (tRNA) molecules are approximately 80 nucleotides in length. The record is from Rfam by way of RNAcentral. Lineage: Eukaryota; Metazoa; Chordata; Mammalia; Rodentia; Caviidae.
AGGGAUUUAGCUCAGUGGUCUAAGUGCCUGCCUUAUAAGCAGGCAGUCGUGAGUUCAAUCCCCG